Molecule: ribosomal RNA, 519 nt
Filed under: uncultured bacterium
Lineage: Bacteria
Description: bacterial SSU rRNA
Rfam family: Bacterial small subunit ribosomal RNA
Source: RNAcentral
CGACGCUGGCGGCGUGCCUAACACAUAGCAAAGUCGAACGGGAACUGGAAGUCAGAACUGAGAGGUUGGAGGGAAGAAGGAAAGCUUUCCGACCUCCGACCUCUGACCUCUGAUUUCCAGUUAGUGGCGGACGGGUGAGUAACGCGUGAGCAACCUGCCUUACAGAGGGGGAUAACACACCGAAAAGGUGUGCUAAUACCGCAUGAAAUGAGGGGGAUGGCAUCAUUUCCUCAUCAAAGAUUUAUCGCUGUAAGAUGGGCUCGCGUCCGAUUAGAUAGUUGGCGGGGUAACGGCCCACCAAGUCUGCGAUCGGUAGCCGGACUGAGAGGUUGAACGGCCACAUUGGGACUGAGAUACGGCCCAGACUCCUACGGGAGGCAGCAGUGGGGAAUAUUGCGCAAUGGGGGGAACCCUGACGCAGCAACGCCGCGUGAAGGAAGAAGGCCUUCGGGUUGUAAACUUUUGUCUUUGGUGACGAUAAUGACGGUAGCCAGAGAGGAAGCCACGGCUGACUACGUG